ACACCCGUAUUAUUUGUCUGUUAUGGGUUUCGACCGAGCUUAGCGUUGUUCAUUUUUUUACACAAUAGGGCUGUAAAAAAUUGAACACGCCCCACUGAGCACCGCAUCCAGUGAGGCCAGGAGAGCGAUCAGAAUGCCUCACAACGCCCAAAAACUGGCCAUCGAGCCCGGUUUUGGGGCAA
This 182-nucleotide small RNA is filed under the name Metapseudomonas resinovorans NBRC 106553. Its description in RNAcentral is "Pseudomonas resinovorans NBRC 106553 Pseudomonas sRNA P1". It matches the Rfam family "Pseudomonas sRNA P1". Rfam says of the family: There appears to be two related copies of P1 sRNA in the P.aeruginosa PA01 genome and both copies appear to be located upstream of predicted glutamine synthetase genes. Lineage: Bacteria; Pseudomonadati; Pseudomonadota; Gammaproteobacteria; Pseudomonadales; Pseudomonadaceae. The record is from Rfam by way of RNAcentral.